This 483-nucleotide ribosomal RNA is filed under the name uncultured bacterium. RNAcentral describes it as "partial 16S ribosomal RNA". It matches the Rfam family "Bacterial small subunit ribosomal RNA", at positions 29 to 506 of the family's 1533-position model. The record is from RNAcentral.
AUUGAACGCUGGCGGCAUGCUUUACACAUGCAAGUCGAACGGCAGCGCGGGCUUCGGCCUGGCGGCGAGUGGCGAACGGGUGAGUAAUGCAUCGGAACGUGCCCAGUAGUGGGGGAUAGCCCGGCGAAAGCCGGAUUAAUACCGCAUACGACCUGAGGGUGAAAGCGGGGGACCGAAAGGCCUCGCGCUAUUGGAGCGGCCGAUGUCGGAUUAGCUAGUUGGUGGGGUAAAGGCUUACCAAGGCGACGAUCCGUAGCUGGUCUGAGAGGACGACCAGCCAAAGGGGGACAGAGAAACGGCCCAGACCCCUAGGGGAGGCAGAGGGGGGGAAUUUGGGAAAAGGGGGGCAACCCUGACCCAGCCAUGCCGGGGGGGGGAAGAAGGCCUGCGGGGUGUAAACCGGUUUUGUUGGGGAAGAAAUCCUCUGGGCUAAAACCCCGGGGGGAUGAGGGGACCGGAAGAAGAAGCACCGGAUAACUAGGG